GACGAACGCUGGCGGCGUGCUUAACACAUGCAAGUCGAACGGAAAGGCCCUGCUUUUGUGGGGUGCUCGAGUGGCGAACGGGUGAGUAACACGUGAGUAACCUGCCCUUGACUUUGGGAUAACUUCAGGAAACUGGGGCUAAUACCGGAUAGGAGCUCCUGCUGCAUGGUGGGGGUUGGAAAGUUUCGGCGGUUGGGGAUGGACUCGCGGCUUACCAGCUUGUUGGUGGGGUAGUGGCUUACCAAGGCUUUGACGGGUAGCCGGCCUGAGUGGGUGACCGGCCACAUUGGGACUGAGAUACGGCCCAGACUCCUACGGGAGGCAGCAGUGGGGAAUAUUGCACAAUGGGCGGAAGCCUGAUGCAGCAACGCCGCGUGCGGGAUGACGGCCUUCGGGUUGUAAACCGCUUUCGCCUGUGACGAAGCGUGAGUGACGGUAAUGGGUAAAGAAGCACCGGCUAACUACGUG
RNAcentral lists this ribosomal RNA (468 nucleotides) under uncultured bacterium. RNAcentral's name for it is "partial 16S ribosomal RNA". It matches the Rfam family "Bacterial small subunit ribosomal RNA", at positions 28 to 507 of the family's 1533-position model. The record is from RNAcentral.